Molecule: non-coding RNA, 72 nt
Organism: Phrynosoma platyrhinos (Desert horned lizard)
Lineage: Eukaryota; Metazoa; Chordata; Lepidosauria; Squamata; Phrynosomatidae
Source: the annotation of a GenBank genome assembly
GCCAGCAUAGUAUAGUGGUCUGGGCAUUGGACUAUGACUCUGGAGAACAGGGUUCAAAUCCCCGUGCAAGUA